This 2254-nucleotide long non-coding RNA is filed under the name Nicotiana benthamiana. Its description in RNAcentral is "long non-coding RNA (NBEN_LNC032444)". The record is from RNAcentral. Lineage: Eukaryota; Viridiplantae; Streptophyta; Magnoliopsida; Solanales; Solanaceae.
UUGUCCUAAUCAGUGCAAAAAUAGUUUAUAUUUACCGUAAUUAUCAAACAUGUAGUCCUUGUUUGAAUUAUAACUCUAAGGAUGACAUAAACUCAAACCAAACUAAUAAAGGGUUCCAUAAUUGGCUCAUAGCCGGUUUGGCCAAGUUUCUUUUUGGUCAAAAGUUCUUUUUUAGGCCAAAAAUUGAGGUGCUUGACAAAGCUUUUGGAAGGAAAAAAGUUCUUUUGAGGAGAAGUAGAAGGAGUUUUGGAGAAGCAGAAAAAAAUAGCUUCUCUCCAAAAGCACUUUUUUGAGAAGUACUUUUGAGAAAAAUACACGUAGAAGCAAUUUUUUCCAGCUUGGCCAAACAUUAAUUGUUGCUCAGAAGUGCUUUUCAAUCUAAUUAGGCAAACACAAAAUGCUUUUAACCAAAAGUCUUUUGCUAAAGUACUUUUGAAAAAAAGCACUUCUUAAAAUAAGCUGAUUUUUGCAUCUUGGUCAAACGGGCUAUCAAUCCUGCACUACAGUACACUCAAACCUUCUAAAUGUUCAAACACCAAGACCCUCAGCCCAAAUCACAAAUAAACAUAAGAGGCUAAGAGGCUAGACUAUAACUUGAAGAGGAACUACAAGAACAACAAAAUGAUCGAAUGGAAAACACAUAAAACAAACUGAAAUUAAUACAUGGACAUGGAACGAAUCUAAAAGUGUAAGUUAAUUUUCAGCAAAACUAAGAUUUAUCCUCAAAUCUCUAACUUGGUUAAAUGUUUCAGAUUUGCACCUCACAUAGCGAUAGAGGCCAGGGAGUACCUGGAGAUCAUAAUAAACAAGAGAUGAUGAGGACUUCAGCAAUAACAAAAGAGUGAGCAUAUCAACAAGUCAAACAGCCAUAUUCAUCUUCCUUAAUCCAUUUUUAAACACUAGAUAAUAAGUAAUCCCUUAAAACGCUUACAUUUUUUCUGCAAUAAACCAAGAAGCAAUUUCAAACAAUUUUACAAUUAAAAAUUAUGCAGAACUUUGACUGUUUUUUCUCAGAGUAUCAGUGAAUCAUUUUUUAAUUAACGAAAGGUUUAUGGAUAACCUUCUUUGGUGGCCAUGUGUUGCAAAAAUUUAAUGGGAAUCAUUCCCUCAUAGGCAUCUUUUUUCAAUAGAAUUGGGAUAGCUGGAAGCCUGUAAUAGGCUCCAACAUUUGUGCUGGCCAAGAUUGGGUCAACUGCCCAUAUUUUAAAAGUUUCCCUAACAGAAAACUUUGAUUUUCUAUUCUUAAAACACCUCCCAAGUUUCCUAUUAUUCACUUCUCACCCUAACAGUUUCCUAACAACUACUAACUAGACAAACAAUAGAAAAUGGGAAACUAUGAGUAAAAUUAAAUCAAACAGUCAGCUACUUGACAAAUUCAUCUAUAAUCAAAUAAGAAUGAGAAUUGAUCAUUUAGCACCAAAAUCUCAAUACAAAAGGAAAAUUUAUAUCUAAAUCAUGCAAUUUAGGACUAUGAAUUAUAAUAGAAACAACAAUUAAAAGAACGAUAACUCAUGAUAACCCCACCCCAAAAGAGAUAUGAUUUAAUCAAAUGAACAAAAUUAAAAAAAAAAAAGAAUAACCUAAUGACUUAAACAAACCCAUAACAGAAACUAAUGAGCAGGCAAAUGGUUAAAAUGAAACUAGAAUCAUGAAGAAAAUAAAGCAAAGCAAAAGAGGGAACGAUGAGAUACUGGCUAACCGGGAAAUGGCUUGGUAAUUAAAUCCAAGUAAUGGCAAAGAAGGCGGAGAAAUAAUGAUUGACCAACGUGGAUGGCUCUCAAAUAUCGAACAAAAACUCGUGUUAAUCAAGGGCUCCAAACGAGAACUCUUGGUUAACACGGGUCUUGGUCUCAGCAGAACUAGGGUUUUCUUUCUUUUCAAUUUUCAGAUCCAAAAUUGGGGGAACUUCAAAGUGUUUUGGGGGGUUUUACUAAUGGAUUUGGGAAGAGGAGGGGACAGGGACCUCCUUGUAUCAGUUUUGGGGUGUUUGAAGGAAUUAUGAUUUAGGACUCUGAUCUUCAAUCUAAGAUUCGAAGGGCUUGAUGAUGAUUUGGGGAAAAUGGUUGGGGUUUUUCGGAAAGAGGAGGGAACGGGGGAUAUGUGGUGUUAAUUUUGGGAGGUUUGGACCACCGAAACUUCCAUGAGGCGAAUUCCAGUGGGUGGUUGACGGCGGAGCCGGUGGGGAAUCUUAGCGCAGCGGCUAGGGUUUCGUUCUCUGAAUUGAGAGACAAGAAUAAGGGGGAAUGGAAUUNNN